RNAcentral lists this ribosomal RNA (497 nucleotides) under uncultured bacterium. Its description in RNAcentral is "partial 16S ribosomal RNA". It matches the Rfam family "Bacterial small subunit ribosomal RNA", at positions 28 to 507 of the family's 1533-position model. The record is from RNAcentral.
GAUGAACGCUGGCGGCGUGCCUAAUACAUGCAAGUCGAGCGAACAGACGAGGAGCUUGCUCCUUUGACGUUAGCGGCGGACGGGUGAGUAACACGUGGGUAACCUACCUAUAAGACUGGGAUAACUUCGGGAAACCGGAGCUAAUACCGGAUAAUAUUUCGAACCGCAUGGUUCGAUAGUGAAAGAUGGCUUUGCUAUCACUUAUAGAUGGACCUGCGCCGUAUUAGCUAGUUGGUAAGGUAACGGCUUACCAAGGCAACGAUACGUAGCCGACCUGAGAGGGUGAUCGGCCACACUGGAACUGAGACACGGUCCAGACUCCUACGGGAGGCAGCAGUAGGGAAUCUUCCGCAAUGGGCGAAAGCCUGACGGAGCAACGCCGCGUGAGUGAUGAAGGUCUUCGGAUCGUAAAACUCUGUUAUUAGGGAAGAACAAACGUGUAAGUAACUGUGCACGUCUUGACGAUACCUAAUCAGAAAGCCACGGCUAACUACGUG